GAUUACUCAGCUGAAUUAUCUGAACUACAGGGAAGAAGAACUGGAAGCUCCAUAAUGCUGAGUCACCUGGGUUUGCAAGGAGUGAAAAGGCAGGUGAAUUACACUGGGUAGUACAGUGGUUGGAGGUGUCACUUCACAAUACCAAGGUGCAAGUGAAGAAUGAAGCCCAGGCCCAAAGAGCUGUUUCAUGGGUCCUAGAAAGCUUCAGAAGGUUCAUCACAAAAGGAUCCACACAGGAAGCUGCUCUGGAUGAAGUAUACAAAGGGCACAUGCAAACGCAGGAUUUGGCUACCAUAUCAGAUUGCAAAAGUCUACAUCUUGCUAUUCAAAGUGUGGUGUAUGCAUCACCAUCCGUGUCAGCAUCAGCAAGAGCAUGAGUAUUAUCUGAGAUUUUGUAAAAGCUGUGAACUCUCCCCAAACAUGCAGAAUCAAUAGCUGCU
Chinchilla lanigera (long-tailed chinchilla) is the source of this 440-nucleotide long non-coding RNA. RefSeq lists it as uncharacterized. The transcript has 3 exons. NCBI's taxonomy places the organism in Eukaryota, Metazoa, Chordata, Mammalia, Rodentia, Chinchillidae. The record is from RefSeq and is a predicted model, not a curated record.